GGGGACAACAAUUGGAAACGAUUGCUAAUACCCCAUAUGCCGAGGAGUAAAACGGUAACAACCGCCUAGGGAUGGGCUUGCGUCUGAUUAGCUUGUUGGUGGGGUAAAUGCUUACCAAGGCAACGAUCAGUAGUUGGUCUGAGAGGAUGACCAGCCACACUGGGACUGAGACACGGCCCAG
This 181-nucleotide ribosomal RNA is filed under the name uncultured Nitrosomonadales bacterium. RNAcentral describes it as "partial 16S ribosomal RNA". It matches the Rfam family "Bacterial small subunit ribosomal RNA", at positions 139 to 334 of the family's 1533-position model. Lineage: Bacteria; Pseudomonadati; Pseudomonadota; Betaproteobacteria; Nitrosomonadales. The record is from RNAcentral.